Molecule: small RNA, 96 nt
Filed under: Pedobacter terrae
Lineage: Bacteria; Pseudomonadati; Bacteroidota; Sphingobacteriia; Sphingobacteriales; Sphingobacteriaceae
Description: Flavo-1 RNA
Source: RNAcentral
CGCCUAACCGGAUUGAAAUGGUAUCCUUUUUUGUUUUUUAGAUUUUAAUGAAGCAAGCACUUCAACAAAAAAGAUUAGUGUAAGGCCGGACGAACA